This 789-nucleotide ribosomal RNA is filed under the name uncultured Entrophospora. RNAcentral describes it as "SSU rRNA". It matches the Rfam family "Eukaryotic small subunit ribosomal RNA", at positions 348 to 1114 of the family's 1831-position model. Lineage: Eukaryota; Fungi; Glomeromycota; Glomeromycetes; Entrophosporales; Entrophosporaceae. The record is from RNAcentral.
GGUUUUAACGGGUAACGGGGAAUUAGGGUUCGAUUCCGGAGAGGGAGCCUGAGAAACGGCUACCACAUCCAAGGAAGGCAGCAGGCGCGCAAAUUACCCAAUCCCAACACGGGGAGGUAGUGACAAUAAAUAACAAUAUGGGGCCCUCACGGGUCUCGUAAUUGGAAUGAGUACAAUUUAAAUCCCUUAACGAGGAACAAUUGGAGGGCAAGUCUGGUGCCAGCAGCCGCGGUAAUUCCAGCUCCAAUAGCGUAUAUUAAAGUUGUUGCAGUUAAAAAGCUCGUAGUUGAAUUUCGGGGUCUGUCCAUCGGUCGGGCUUUUUCGGUCCGCACUGUUGCGAUGGAUUCCUACCUUCUGAAUAACCGAUUUGCCAUUAAUUUGGUGGGUCGGGGAAGCAGGACUGUUACCUUGAAAAAAUUAGAGUGCUCAAAGCAGGCUAGUGCCUGAAUACAUUAGCAUGGAAUAAUAAAAUAGGACGGCAAUGGAAUAAUAAAAUAGGACGGCAUGGUUCUAUUUUGUUGGUUUCUAGGAUCACCGUAAUGAUUAAUAGGGAUAGUUGGGGGCAUUAGUAUUCAAUUGUCAGAGGUGAAAUUCUUGGAUUUAUUGAAGACUAACUACUGCGAAAGCAUUUGCCAAGGAUGUUUUCAUUAAUCGAGAACGAAAGUUAGGGGAUCGAAGACGAUCAGAUACCGUCGUAGUCUUAACCAUAAACUAUGCCGACUAGGAAUCGGGCGACGUUAUUUUUACGACUCGCUCGGCGCCUUAUGGGAAACCAAAGUGUUUGGGUUC